This 924-nucleotide ribosomal RNA is filed under the name Triticum aestivum (bread wheat). RNAcentral describes it as "partial small subunit ribosomal RNA". Lineage: Eukaryota; Viridiplantae; Streptophyta; Magnoliopsida; Poales; Poaceae. The record is from RNAcentral.
AUGGAUUGGUUGGAGAAGAACAGCCCGAUGACUUGUCACUGGCAAGAGAAGUUCAUUUCCUUCGACCACGAUGGCGAGACGGUCACCCUGCAAGGUGUUCGACCCAAGACGACACCCACUCUCGCUGCCGUGCAGCCGGCGGAACUCUGCAAACUGAUUGCCGGCAAUGACAUCUGGGCAAUGGCUAUGGUGGAAAUGCAACCCCCAAGACCCAAGCCACGCAAGCCGUCUCAGACGCCCAUAAGUGACUUACUGGAAGAAUUUGCAGAUGUCUUCGCGGCACCUACUGGCCUGCCCCCGCACCGGCAAUAUGACCAUGCCGUCAUCCUGGAAGACGGAGCCCAGCCAACAAACACUCGUCCUUACCACUACUCUCCUCUGCAAAAGGACGAGAUCGAGCGGCAGGUGAAGGAAAUGCUCGACGCCGGUGUGAUCACCCACUCGGUCAGUCCAUACGCCGCGUCGGUGCUUCUGGUGAAGAAAAAGGAUGGCACCUGGCGAUUCUGCAUGGACUACCGACGCCUCAAUGAAGUGACAGUGAAGAACAAGUUUCCGCUGCCCAUCGUCGACGAGCUACUCGAUGAGCUGGCCGGCACGGCAUACUUCUCCAAGCUCGAUUUGCGUGCAGGCUACCAUCAAAUCCGGAUGCCUGAGGACGACGAGCACAAGACGGCGUUCAAAACACACCACGGCCAUUUUCAGUUCCGGGUUAUGCCGUUCGGAUUGACAAACGCUCCGGCGACAUUCCAGUGCCUGAUGAAUGCCAUCUUCGCCAAAUACACCCAGUUGAGAAAGAACUGCAUGUCCUGGGAUGUCGCCACGUCUAUUGGUCUUUGUUUUCUGUUCAACGCCGAAGAAUCACGUCACAGUAAGUCAACCAAGUCAUUGAAUACAAGAAUUCUUCAGAAAUACUGCUCACCAUAG